GCUCAGUACGAACGCUGGCGGCGUGCCUAAUACAUGCAAGUCGAGCGGACCGAUGGGAGCUUGCUCCCUGAGAUCAGCGGCGGACGGGUGAGUAACACGUGGGUAACCUGCCUGUAAGACUGGGAUAACUCCGGGAAACCGGGGCUAAUACCGGAUAAUUCAGUACCUCGCAUGAGGAACUGUUGAACGGUGGCUUUUCGCUACCACUUACAGAUGGACCCGCGGCGCAUUAGCUAGUUGGUGAGGUAACGGCUCACCAAGGCAACGACGCGUAGCCGACCUGAGAGGGUGAUCGGACACACUGGGACUGAGACACGGCCCAGACUCCUACGGGAGGCAGCAGUAGGGAAUCUUCCGCAAUGGACGAAAGUCUGACGGAGCAACGCCGCGGGAGUGAAGAAGGUUUUCGGAUCGUAAAACUCUGUUGUUAGGGAAGAACAAGUGCCGUUCGAAUAGGGCGGCACCUUGACGGUACCUAACCAGAAAGCCACGGCUAACUACGUGCCAGCAACCGCGGUAAUACGUAGGUGGCAAGCGUUGUCCGGAAUUAUUGGGCGUAAAGCGCGCGCAGGUGGUCUCUUAAGUCUGAUGUGAAAGCCCACGGCUCAACCGUGGAGGGUCAUUGGAAACUGGGGAACUUGAGUGCAGAAGAGGACAGUGGAAUUCCAAGUGUAGCGGUGAAAUGCUUAGAUAUUUGGAGGAACACCAGUGGCGAAGGCGACUUACUGGUCUGUAACUGACACUGAGGCGCGAAAGCGUGGGGAGCAAACAGGAUUAGCUACCCUGGUAGUCCACGCCGUAAACGAUGAGUGCUACGUGUUAGAGGGUUUCCGCCCUUUAGUGCUGCAGCUAACGCACUAAGCACUCCGCCUGGGGAGUACGGUCGCAAGACUGAAACUCGAAGGAAUUGACGGGCUCCCGCACAAGCGGUGGAGCAUGUGGUUUAAUUCGAAGCAACGCGAAGAACCUUACCAGGUCUUGACAUCCUCUGACAACCCUAGAGAUAGGGCUUUCCCCUUCGGGGGACAGAGUGACAGGUGGUGCAUGGUUGUCGUCAGCUCGUGUCGUGAGAUGUUGGGUUUAGUCCCGCAACGAGCGCAACCCUUGAUCUUAGUUGCCAGCAUUCAGUUGGGCACUCUAAGAUGACUGCCGGUGACAAACCGGAGGAAGGUGGGGAUGACGUCAAAUCAUCAUGCCCCUUAUGACCUGGGCUACACCCGUGCUACAAUGGACGGUACAAAGGGCAGCGAGACCGCGAGGUUUAGCCAAUCCCAUAAAACCGUUCUCAGUUCGGAUUGCAGACUGCAACUCGCCUGCAUGAAGCUGGAAUCGCUAGUAAUCGCGGAUCAGCAUGCCGCGGUUGCAUACGUUCCCGGGCCUUGUACACACCGCCCGUCACACCACGAGAGUUUGUAACACCCGAAGUCGGUGAGGUAACC
RNAcentral lists this ribosomal RNA (1439 nucleotides) under Bacillus subtilis. Its description in RNAcentral is "16S ribosomal RNA". It matches the Rfam family "Bacterial small subunit ribosomal RNA". Lineage: Bacteria; Bacillati; Bacillota; Bacilli; Caryophanales; Bacillaceae. The record is from RNAcentral.